GAGCGAUCGAACAACGCUGAUGGUUAAACCGUAGAAUGAGCGUUGGAAGGGCUGGCGCAGAUGAUUCUGCGAGUCUAACCGCGAGAAGUUGAAGGUGUUGAAUGGGCACUCACCAGAAAAAGUCCCAAACUCUUCAGUCUUCUGCCUUACUUAAUAGUCCCCCCAGUAAACGGACGUAACAACCAGGGCCACCCUUUCAAGGUCAGCAGCGUGAGUUUUAGAGCGGUUGGAGAGGUUUUUUCGCACCCAACUCAGAGUGUGGUGGGUAUUUGGAACUUGGCUGUCGAAACGUACAGGUGAUGUGAAGGUGCCGGGGUUGGACCGAGGUGGACAAGGACCCGGUGAGGGAUCUGGCAUUCAGAGGCCGCAAGCAAGCCCUGCCCAAGCAUGUUCCAGCACCGGUAGUUGUAGAAUUAGAGGCAGCAGGAGGAGAUCAGAAGUGGUAGCAUUAGCAGCAAACACUCAGCUCCUCCCAAGACUCCAGGCUGUGGGCUGGCCUGGGUGCCUGCAUGGAGACAACUUAAGUUUUAAUGUUUGGACAUUUCUCAUUCCUUUUGGCUUUGUUUCCUUUAUUUCUGUUUAUUUAAUUACAAUUUUAUAAUCGUGUGCAACCAAGAUGGUGCCAACGAAUGGCAACUUUGUAUACUUUUCAAUGUACUCCUAUAUUCCUAUACUUCAGUACACGUGACAAAUCUAAUUCUAAUUCUACCCCAUCAUUUACCUUCUCUCAACGUUGUUAAAGUGCUUUUAGAACCUUUUAAACAUGAAAACGGAAAUUACAGCUGCAAAUUGGAGUUUCACUUCAGUGCCAAUUCACUCCAUUGCUGCCUACAUAGAUUUUUCUGUCCUCGACUGCACUGAAGAUUUGGGCCAUUAUGAGCAGUGAGCCCAAUGACCAGUGGAGCAAGUUGAACAAUCCUUCAAUAAAUUAGAACUCAGGUGUCAUGUACAAUGGUCAAGAUUUUAAAAGGCUGAUACUGAAAAACAAGAUAGCUGAUCACAAAAUAACAGAAUUGUAACAGCACAGAACCCAGAAGGAGGCCAUUCAAUCUAUCUGUGCCUACUGCAUUCUCUGGAUUCAGUGAAAGGACCAUCAGUGAAAAAACAGUAGCAUCUAUUUGAAGAUAGCUAUGCAAUCAUUCAGAUAGAACUCCUGCAAAAUCACAAUGGACUGAACACUGCAUCUGGAUCCCAAAACAUUUCUCCUCUGCCAGGUCUGGUUACUUAACUCUCAAAAAACAAAAAAAAAAGCAACACUCCUGGAAGCAAAGCAGCACUGACAUUAACAACAGGGAGGUCUUUCUUAUCCUUGUUUAAAGCUGCAACAACUCAUCUGUCCAGCAGCAUCAUGCUUUGAGUUUAGACAUGUAAACGACAAAAGGCAGCAUAGGAACAGAAAGAAAAUGCUGCACUCCACAUCUGAUUCUGUUAUGGACAUCCUGCUCCAUGUGCCCAGAGAUUUGGUUUAUUCACUUGCAUGGAGACCCACAACAGAAACUCUGCAUAAGUAUUAUCCUCAAAUUAAGGGAACAAUAUUCUGUGUAGUUUACCGAGUCUCAUUUCCCCCAUAGGCAUGAAUGUUCUCUUUCACAUAUCAAUCAAAUUCCCUCUUGAAUACACAAGCUUCACACAGCAAAUCCUAACUGCUAUUGCUUCUUUGACAAAUUACUUCAAAUUUGUCCCCUCUCAAUCCAUUGGGAACAAGUUCUCUCUAUCUGCAUGAUCCAGGCACUUCAAGAUUUUGAAUAAGUAUCAAACCUUCUCUCAAUCUUCUCUUUCCAAGGAAAAUAGUCUCAACUUCUCCAAUCUAUCAAAACAAACUCCUCAUUCUGGAACCAUUCGAGAGUCUUCCCCCUAAUGAUUUCACAUCUUUUUCUAAAAAUCGUGUUCCUGGUCUGUUAAAGAAUGUAUCCAGGUUUGCUGCCAUAUAUCAUGCUGUGUAAGUUGAUCCCAUCUCUUUCCACUUAUAAAUGGAUGUUUUAUUUUCUAAUAAGUUAUAACUGUGCACAAGAGAUCAAACCAUGGAUGAGAGUUGGGUUGGAAAGAAGUCCUUUAAAUGGCAACCACCAAACCAGUUCACUUUUAUAGUCACCACAUCAGUCAAGACAUUUUUUGAAAGGAUUUUCAGGUUUAUAUAAAAACAUUUGUUGUUAUCAUUUUCUGCUUUAUAUAUCCAUUUUGUGAUAAGUCUCCAUGGUUGCAAGAUGUCCAAUAUUGCCUCAUUAACAGUGUACCACUGACCAGAGUUUAAUGUAAUCAGUAAAAUACUUACUGCAAACUUGAAACUGUA
This is a long non-coding RNA of Rhincodon typus (whale shark), 2290 nucleotides long. RefSeq lists it as uncharacterized. The transcript has 3 exons. The record is from RefSeq and is a predicted model, not a curated record. NCBI's taxonomy places the organism in Eukaryota, Metazoa, Chordata, Chondrichthyes, Orectolobiformes, Rhincodontidae.